UUUGUUUUGUUUUUAAGGUGCAGACACUUCUGCAACAGAUGCAAGAUAAAUUUCAGACCAUGUCUGACCAGAUCAUUGGAAGAAUUGAUGAUAUGAGUAGUCGCAUUGAUGAUCUGGAGAAAAACAUCGCAGACCUCAUGACACAGGCUGGGGUGGAAGAACUGGAAGGUGAAAACAAGAUACCCGCCACACCAAAGAGUUGAAGGUUGCUAAUAAUUUACACUGAAAUCUGGAAUACCGUUUUUCCAAGCCAAGAGAAGACCGAAUGGCUUUUUGCAGCUAACUGUUAUGUGUAGACAGGUUUUGUAUUAUGAAGUGUGCAUUCUUAUCACCGACUAUAUAGUUAUAGAGUGAGUUUCCCCCAGUUUUUUGAACAUCUUGGACCUUGGUCAGUUGUGCUAUUAAUUAUUAAACACUAAAACCUUGGCAGAUCCUGCAUAAAAUUGUCAAAUUUUUUAGUGUACUUUUGUGAAAUCAUUUUUUCCUGCCAUUCCUUUUGUGGUGGUUACUGUUUGGUAAAAGUUGCUGUGUAAUUUUUUUUAUUAAACAAAUAGUAGAUUCUUCGAUUACAGAUACACUUGGUGAAGUAAGACAUCUGUAGAGUUUAGGGUUCUUUUCUUCUCAGCACAAAGUGACUGUGAGCUGACACCAAAUAGUGUGUGGGCAAUACUUUUGAAAUGGCAGAAAACAUUUAAAAAUUGUUUAUUCAGAAAUGUCUGACACUGCUCUGUUGCCAAAACUCAUAAUUGAACCAUGACUUGUAAUUAAGUUAGGAGAUCAGAUGCUAAAGUCAGUGAAAAGUAAUCUCUGCCACAUUACUGUGUUAGAACUUUUAAGAUACAGAAAAUAACUGAAUAGCCUGAUGUAAUAAGGCAUUCGUUUUUUAGAGUUUUGCAUGAGAAUCUAAUAUUUCAGUAGGACGUUACAUUGCUCAUCUACAGUGUAAACAUAUCUGGCAGGAUUUUAAAACUCAAUUACUCCCUCCUUUCUUUGAGCUACUGAUUGAAAAAGGAAAAGACCGUUUUAAGUUGCUUGGCUAGGAAAUGAUAAAUGGCUCAUUAGUAGGCUCAAGUUUUUAAGAAACACUAUUUUACUUAAACUAUUUCUUACCUAAAUUCUUGCAAAGUAACAAUUUUAUUAUUAAUUCUAGAGACAGGGAUGAUAAUUCUUGCCAUCAAAAAUGCAGUGUCAGGAAUGCUAAGCCUCGAGGCCAGUAUUGAUGACCUGGAAUGCCAAGCAUGUGAUUGUCACUGCAAAGUGAUUUUGUAUAACAAAAACUUGAAAAAGUUGAGGAAUGGUAUGGCCCUUCAUAGAAGGAAACCCUCCUUAACGAAAACAGGAUGAUUUUUUUUUUAAGUUUUCCAUAUCACCAGUCUUGUUUGUAUUGCAACUAUAUAAUAAUUUGUCCUAUUUACAAACUAUGUGGGGAACACAAAAGAGUAAAAUUCUUCUGAAAUAAAAUGAACUUAGCACUAUUAUUACCAGCUGCAGAAAAUCCUUUGACCAGACCAGCAAGUUGUGCUGCAGGGUUUAGCCCAUGAAUGGCCCACUCACACAGGGCUCUGACCAGACCAGCUGAAACCUGAGUGAAGGAUGUUUUCAAGCCUCAUAAACAGCAAAUGGAGAUAUGGCAUGGCUGUUGUAAGGAGAGUUGGGACUUAGGAGUUGGCUUCCUUAAGUAACAAAGAUUUCAAAGGCAGGCUCCCUUGACUAAAAAUACCUGCCAUGAAUAAAGGUGCCUGAAAUCCUGCUAUUAAA
Galeopterus variegatus (Sunda flying lemur) is the source of this 1758-nucleotide long non-coding RNA. RefSeq lists it as uncharacterized. NCBI's taxonomy places the organism in Eukaryota, Metazoa, Chordata, Mammalia, Dermoptera, Cynocephalidae. The record is from RefSeq and is a predicted model, not a curated record. The transcript is spliced from 3 exons.